This 761-nucleotide ribosomal RNA is filed under the name Vibrio alginolyticus. RNAcentral describes it as "bacterial SSU rRNA". It matches the Rfam family "Bacterial small subunit ribosomal RNA", at positions 308 to 1063 of the family's 1533-position model. Lineage: Bacteria; Pseudomonadati; Pseudomonadota; Gammaproteobacteria; Vibrionales; Vibrionaceae. The record is from RNAcentral.
CCACACUGGAACUGAGACACGGUCCAGACUCUACGGGAGGCAGCAGUGGGGAAUAUUGCACAAUGGGCGCAAGCCUGAUGCAGCCAUGCCGCGUGUAUGAAGAAGGCUUUCGGGUUGUAAAGUACUUUCAGUCGUGAGGAAGGCGGCGUCGUUAAUAGCGGCGUUGUUUGACGUUAGCGACAGAAGAAGCACCGGCUAACUCCGUGCCAGCAGCCGCGGUAAUACGGAGGGUGCGAGCGUUAAUCGGAAUUACUGGGCGUAAAGCGCAUGCAGGUGGUUUGUUAAGUCAGAUGUGAAAGCCCGGGGCUCAACCUCGGAAUAGCAUUUGAAACUGGCAGACUAGAGUACUGUAGAGGGGGGUAGAAUUUCAGGUGUAGCGGUGAAAUGCGUAGAGAUCUGAAGGAAUACCGGUGGCGAAGGCGGCCCCCUGGACAGAUACUGACACUCAGAUGCGAAAGCGUGGGGAGCAAACAGGAUUAGAUACCCUGGUAGUCCACGCCGUAAACGAUGUCUACUUGGAGGUUGUGGCCUUGAGCCGUGGCUUUCGGAGCUAACGCGUUAAGUAGACCGCCUGGGGAGUACGGUCGCAAGAUUAAAACUCAAAUGAAUUGACGGGGGCCCGCACAAGCGGUGGAGCAUGUGGUUUAAUUCGAUGCAACGCGAAGAACCUUACCUACUCUUGACAUCCAGAGAACUUUCCAGAGAUGGAUUGGUGCCUUCGGGAACUCUGAGACAGUGCUGCAUGGCUGUCGUCAGCUCGU